GCUUAAGUAGCUUAAACUGUAAAGCAUUACAUUGAAGCUGUAAAUAUGUCAAAUGUCCGUAAGCA
RNAcentral lists this transfer RNA (65 nucleotides) under Platynereis bicanaliculata. RNAcentral's name for it is "tRNA-Phe". It matches the Rfam family "tRNA". From Rfam's summary of the family: Transfer RNA (tRNA) molecules are approximately 80 nucleotides in length. Their secondary structure includes four short double-helical elements and three loops (D, anti-codon, and T loops). Further hydrogen bonds mediate the characteristic L-shaped molecular structure. tRNAs have two regions of fundamental functional importance: the anti-codon, which is responsible for specific mRNA codon recognition, and the 3' end, to which the tRNAs corresponding amino acid is attached (by aminoacyl-tRNA synthetases). tRNAs cope with the degeneracy of the genetic code in two manners: having more than one tRNA (with a specific anti-codon) for a particular amino acid; and 'wobble' base-pairing, i.e. permitting non-standard base-pairing at the 3rd anti-codon position. The record is from RNAcentral. Lineage: Eukaryota; Metazoa; Annelida; Polychaeta; Phyllodocida; Nereididae.